This 886-nucleotide ribosomal RNA is filed under the name uncultured eukaryote. Its description in RNAcentral is "SSU rRNA". It matches the Rfam family "Eukaryotic small subunit ribosomal RNA", at positions 571 to 1476 of the family's 1831-position model. The record is from RNAcentral.
CAGCCGCGGUAAUUCCAGCUCCAAUAGCGUAUACUAAAGUUGUUGCGGUUAAAAAGCUCGUAGUUGGAUCUUGGAAUGUGUUCAAGCGGGUCAGCUUCUGGCUGUGCGCUGCUUGACGUGUUCUUCUAUUUGGUUUUGGUGCGGUGCGCUUAACUGCGUGUCGCUCCCGGCCGAAACGUUUACCUUGAAAAAAUUAGAGUGUUCAAAGCAGACCUGUUUGAGUCUGAAUAUUCGUGCAUGGAAUAAUGAAAUAUGAAUUCGGUUCUAUUUUGUUGGUUUUCGGAACUCGAGUUAAUGAUCAAGAGGGACAGACGGGGGCAUUCGUACUCUGCCGUUAGAGGUGAAAUUCUUGGAUCGGCGGAAGACGCGCAACUGCGAAAGCAUUUGCCAAGAAUGUUUUCUUUAAUCAAGAACGAUAGUCGGAGGUUCGAAGACGAUCAGAUACCGUCCUAGUUUCGACUGUAAACUAUGCCAGCUAACGAUCAGACAGAGUUCUCUACGACUUGUCUGGCAGUUUCCGGGAAACCAAAGCGUUUGGGUUCCGGGGGAAGUAUGGUUGCAAAGCUGAAACUUAAAGGAAUUGACGGAAGGGCACCACCAGGAGUGGAGCCUGCGGCUUAAUUUGACUCAACACGGGGAAACUCACCCGGCCCGGACACAGUGAGGAUUGACAGAUUGAGAGUUCUUUCUUGAUUCUGUGGGUGGUGGUGCAUGGCCGUUCUUAGUUGGUGGAGCGAUUUGUCUGGUUAAUUCCGAUAACGAACGAGACUCUGGCAUGUUAAAUAGUCGCGGAAGUGCGUAUGCACUUUGCCGAAUUGACUUCUUAGAGGGACUAGUGAUUUUAAUUCACACGAGAUUGAGCAAUAACAGGUCUGUGAUGCCAAAG